CCCCUGUCCCAUCCCAGUGUCCCCUGUCCCAUACCAGUGUCCCCACGCCCUGUGCUGUGCCAUUAAUGUCCCCUGUGUCCCCUCCCAGACCGACUGUUUCAACUACGUGCGCUUCCUGCAGAGCUACAACAGCUCUCACCUCUACGCCUGUGGCACCUACGCCUUCCAGCCCAAGUGCACCUACAUCGAGCUCUCCGGCUUCACCCUGGACCCGGUGGCAUUCGAGGACGGCAAAGGCAAAUGUCCCUACGACCCCACCAAGGGCCACACCGGCCUCAUCGUGGACGGGGAGCUCUACUCCGCCACCUUCAACAACUUCCUGGGCACGGAGCCCGUCAUCCUGCGCAACCUGGGCCCGCACUACUCCAUGAAGACGGAGUACCUGACGUCCUGGCUGAACGGUGGGGCGCGGCGGGGGCGCGGGGAGGGGACACCAGGGGACACCA
RNAcentral lists this long non-coding RNA (446 nucleotides) under Parus major (Great Tit). RNAcentral describes it as "lncRNA (ENSPMJG00000013439.1)". The record is from RNAcentral. Lineage: Eukaryota; Metazoa; Chordata; Aves; Passeriformes; Paridae.